This 500-nucleotide ribosomal RNA is filed under the name uncultured bacterium. RNAcentral's name for it is "partial 16S ribosomal RNA". It matches the Rfam family "Bacterial small subunit ribosomal RNA", at positions 355 to 867 of the family's 1533-position model. The record is from RNAcentral.
UGGGGAAUAUUGCGCAAUGGGGGGAACCCUGACGCAGCAACGCCGCGUGAAGGAUGAAGGCUUUCGGGUUGUAAACUUCUUUGAUGAGGGGACGAAAGAAAUGACGGUACCUCAAAAACAAGCCACGGCUAACUACGUGCCAGCAGCCGCGGUAAUACGUAGGUGGCGAGCGUUGUCCGGAAUUACUGGGUGUAAAGGGCGUGUAGGCGGGGAUGCAAGUCAGAUGUGAAAUGCCGGGGCUUAACUCCGGAGCUGCAUCUGAAACUGUGUUUCUUGAGUGUCGGAGAGGAAAGCGGAAUUCCCAGUGUAGCGGUGAAAUGCGUAGAUAUUGGGAGGAACACCAGUGGCGAAGGCGGCUUUCUGGACGAUAACUGACGCUGAGGCGCGAAAGCGUGGGGAGCAAACAGGAUUAGAUACCCUGGUAGUCCACGCUGUAAACGAUGGAUGCUAGGUGUAGGAGGUAUCGACCCCUUCUGUGCCGGAGUUAACACAAUAAGUAU